This 236-nucleotide long non-coding RNA is filed under the name Elaeis guineensis (African oil palm). RNAcentral's name for it is "long non-coding RNA (EGUI_LNC075668)". Lineage: Eukaryota; Viridiplantae; Streptophyta; Magnoliopsida; Arecales; Arecaceae. The record is from RNAcentral.
CUUCUGCUUUGACUGUCUUUAGGCUUUAGUGGGUCCUAGCUUCAGUGAAGCUUGGCCAUUUUGAAUUUCAUAGUUUUGUUUUUAAAAGAUACCUCAGAAGGGAGAGAUGAUCCUAUUCCAUAUAAGUCAGAAUCUUUCUUGACUUACAACCGAUGUGAAAUUAAAGAUAUCCUCCUCUCGUAACAUGCUGUACUCAUGAGUUAGUCUAUCUUGAUCCAUGAGAAUCAUAUAUGAUA